GAUGAACGCUGGCGGCGUGCCUAAUACAUGCAAGUCGAGCGAACGGACGAGAAGCUUGCUUCUCUGAUGUUAGCGGCGGACGGGUGAGUAACACGUGGAUAACCUACCUAUAAGACUGGGAUAACUUCGGGAAACCGGAGCUAAUACCGGAUAAUAUUUUGAACCGCAUGGUUCAAAAGUGAAAGACGGUCUUGCUGUCACUUAUAGAUGGAUCCGCGCUGCAUUAUCUAGUUGGUAAGGUAACGGCUUACCAAGGCAACGAUGCAUAGCCGACCUGAGAGGGGGAUCGGCCACACGGGAACUGAGACACGGUCCAGACGCCUACGGGAGGCAGCAGUAGGGAAUCGUCCGCAAUGGGCGAAAGCCUGACGGAGCAACGCCGCGUGAGUGAUGAAGGUCUUCGGAUCGUAAAACUCUGUUAUUAGGGAAGAACAUAUGUGUAAGUAACUGUGCACAUCUUGACGGUACCUAAUCAGAAAGCCACGGCUAACUACGUG
RNAcentral lists this ribosomal RNA (497 nucleotides) under uncultured bacterium. Its description in RNAcentral is "partial 16S ribosomal RNA". It matches the Rfam family "Bacterial small subunit ribosomal RNA", at positions 28 to 507 of the family's 1533-position model. The record is from RNAcentral.